Molecule: ribosomal RNA, 494 nt
Filed under: uncultured bacterium
Lineage: Bacteria
Description: bacterial SSU rRNA
Rfam family: Bacterial small subunit ribosomal RNA
Source: RNAcentral
GGACGAACGCUGGCGGCGUGCCUAACACAUGCAAGUCGAGCGGAGUCGGUAAGAGGAAGUUUCGGAUGGAAUCUUAUUGAUUUAGCGGCGGACGGGUGAGUAACGCGUGAGCGACCAACCUUGCACAGGGGGAUAACGGACCGAAAGGUUCACUAAUACCGCAUGAGACCGACGGUGUUGCAUGACACAGAGGUCAAAGGAGCAAUCCGGUGCAAGACGGGCUCGCGUCCGAUUAGGUAGUUGGAGGGUAGCGGCCCACCAAGCCUAUGAUCGGUAGCCGACCUGAGAGUGUGAUCGGCCACAUUGGAACUGAGAUACGGUCCAAACUCCUACGGGAGGCAGCAGUGGGGAAUAUUGGGCAAAUGGGGGAAACCCUGACCCAGCAACGCCGCGUGAAGGAAGAAGGUUUUCGGAUUGUAAACUUCUGUCCUUGGUGAAGAGAAGAAGACGGUAGCCAAGGAGGAAGCCCCGGCUAACUACGUGCCAGCCGCAGC